Molecule: non-coding RNA, 149 nt
Filed under: uncultured Ruminococcus sp.
Lineage: Bacteria; Bacillati; Bacillota; Clostridia; Eubacteriales; Oscillospiraceae
Source: RNAcentral
CGCGGUUCCGCGGGGAUUAAUUGGGAAGGCGGUCUGAGUCCGCCGCAACAGCCAUUACCGUGUUCAGCCGAAAAGAAGCAUUAUGCCACUGAGAAAUCGGGAAGGCGCUUUGUACUAUGACUGUAAGCCGGGAGACCUGCCGCGUUCGU